UACGUAGGGGGCAAGCGUUGUCCGGAUUUAUUGGGCGUAAAGAGCGUGUAGGCGGUUUGGUAGGUCCGCUGUGAAAACUCGAGGCUCAACCUCGAGACGCCGGUGGAAACCAUCAGACUAGAGUUCGGAAGAGGCGAGUGGAAUUCCCGGUGUAGCGGUGAAAUGCGCAGAUAUCGGGAGGAACACCAAUGGCGAAGGCAGCUCGCUGGGACGUUACUGACGCUGAGACGCGAAAGCGUGGGGAGCAAACAGG
Molecule: ribosomal RNA, 253 nt
Filed under: uncultured bacterium
Lineage: Bacteria
Description: partial 16S ribosomal RNA
Rfam family: Bacterial small subunit ribosomal RNA
Source: RNAcentral